CUACUUGGCCUUAGAGAAGAUAAAACAGCGAUAGUGCUCUCAAUAAAAUCUUGGUAAUAAUUGGUAAUUAUUACCAAGAUUUUAUUGAGAGCACUAUCACUGUUUUAUCUUCUCUCCGAGCUCCUGAUAUU
This is a non-coding RNA of Pelobates cultripes (western spadefoot toad), 131 nucleotides long. Lineage: Eukaryota; Metazoa; Chordata; Amphibia; Anura; Pelobatidae. The record is from the annotation of a GenBank genome assembly.